AUACGGAGGAUGCGAGCGUUAUCCGGAUUUAUUGGGUUUAAAGGGAGCGUAGGUGGGCUAUUAAGUCAGCGGUUAAAUCGUGGGGCUCAACCCCAUUCUGCCGUUGAUACUGGGUGGCUUGAUUGCGGUCGAGGUUGGCGGAAUUCGUUGUGUAGCGGUGAAAUGCAUAGAUAUGACGAAGAACACCGAUUGCGUAGGCAGCUGGCCAGAUCGCAAAGGACUCUCAUGCACGAAAGUGCGGGGAUCGAACAGCAUUAGAUACCCUGGUAGUCCGCACAGUAAACGAUGAAUACUUGUUUUCGGCGAUAUAAUGUCGGAGGCAAAGCGAAAGCGAUAAGUAUUCCACCUGGGGAGUACGCCGGCAACGGUGAAACUCAAAUGAAUUGGCGGGG
This 392-nucleotide ribosomal RNA is filed under the name uncultured bacterium. RNAcentral's name for it is "partial 16S ribosomal RNA". It matches the Rfam family "Bacterial small subunit ribosomal RNA", at positions 523 to 918 of the family's 1533-position model. The record is from RNAcentral.